Linepithema humile (Argentine ant) is the source of this 671-nucleotide non-coding RNA. NCBI's taxonomy places the organism in Eukaryota, Metazoa, Arthropoda, Insecta, Hymenoptera, Formicidae. The record is from RefSeq and is a predicted model, not a curated record.
CUCAAAUAAUUUUUUUUAAUUGAUAAAAAAAUGAGCCACAAGUAAAAUCAUCCUCCGAUCUAGACAAGGCAUUAAUUGUAGAGUGCUUGAAUGAAAUAUUGUAAAACAAAGGGCUUCAAGGAAUCCAAGUUGAUGAGGCGAUGGACUGUCAGAUAAUAAUAAUAAGGUAAUAUAAGAUUAGAAUAAUCACUUCACUCAACCGGGUUGAAAAUAACAUUCUUAAUCCAAAAAAUUUUCAAGAUUAUUCUUAAUCCAAGGAUGCCCCUGUCGCAUCACAGUUGUGAUUCCCGAGCGUUAUACAGCAGAACCUUUAUACAGGACCCCCGAGGAGGGACAGAGCUAUGCUCGCAGGAGCAAAUCUGUCUUCUCUCAUAAGGGUUAGGACGGACAAGAGGUAAGUUUUUUAGUUGGUAGGUGACCGGGAAAGGAUUCUGUAGCUCAUGGAGUGCCGAUCGGCACGCGUUGGGCUCGGCCGGGUCGGACCGUUGGCAGUGAGAAUGUGAAUCCCCACAUUCGCAUCCGGGGCUCCUUGGUUAGGUCGUGGCCGGGGGCACGCGCUGUCGGUUCGGUUCAUGAGUCUGGAAAAUCUAAUCCCGGUCGAAUCCAACACACCCGGUGGCACGGGCCACCGGGCGUCUUUUGAAGACUUUUCUCAUCUCCGUAAUAAAAAA